AUGCAGCUGCAGCUCUCCACGCUAGUGGUUCUUCGACUAGAGAUAGCACAAGAACGUCGACCGCUUACACAGAGUGAGUUUCAUCUUCGAAAACUUCUGAAGCUGCGUAUUCUUGGAUUGGCAGUAGUGGAAAGAGCCCGGAAACGCCAGGAAUCCAGGAUAACAUGGCUACGGGCAGGAGACGCCCAAACAGCCUUCUUUCAAGCCAAGAUCAAUGCCAGGCGCAGGAAAAACUUCAUCCACUCGCUGCAUGGAUCGCGGGGUAUUGCCACCACCCAUGAUGAGAAAGAGGAAAUCGUCCAUAGCCAUUUCACUGCAUCGCUAGGAACUAGGCAGAACCGACCACAUACUAUCGACUGGAGCUACAUCGACAUGCCUAGGGUACAAGGUGGUGGCCUAGACAAUCCGUUCACUGAGCAUGAAGUGUGGCAGGCGAUCAAGCAACCACCGGCCGAGAAAUCACCAGGCCCAGAUGGUUUCUGA
Molecule: ribosomal RNA, 483 nt
Filed under: Triticum aestivum (bread wheat)
Lineage: Eukaryota; Viridiplantae; Streptophyta; Magnoliopsida; Poales; Poaceae
Description: partial small subunit ribosomal RNA
Source: RNAcentral